This 411-nucleotide ribosomal RNA is filed under the name Actinomycetes bacterium. RNAcentral's name for it is "Actinobacteria bacterium partial 16S ribosomal RNA". It matches the Rfam family "Bacterial small subunit ribosomal RNA", at positions 355 to 776 of the family's 1533-position model. The record is from RNAcentral. Lineage: Bacteria; Bacillati; Actinomycetota; Actinomycetes.
UGGGGAAUAUUGCACAAUGGGCGCAAGCCUGAUGCAGCGACGCCGCGUGGGGGAUGACGGCCUUCGGGUUGUAAACUCCUUUCGCUAGGGACGAAGCUUUUUGUGACGGUACCUAGAUAAGAAGCACCGGCUAACUACGUGCCAGCAGCCGCGGUAAUACGUAGGGUGCGAGCGUUGUCCGGAAUUACUGGGCGUAAAGGGCUCGUAGGUGGUUUGUAGCGUAGUCUGUGAAAUUCCGGGGCUUAACUCCGGGCGUGCAGGCGAUACGGGCAUAACUUGAGUACUGUAGGGGUAACUGGAAUUCCUGGUGUAGCGGUGAAAUGCGCAGAUAUCAGGAGGAACACCGAUGGCGAAAGCAGGUUACUGGGCAGUUACUGACGCUGAGGAGCGAAAGCAUGGGUAGCGAACAGG